UGAAUAUUUACUUAAAAAAAAGUCAUCACUUUCAUCAGCAGUAAGCAUGCGCAGUAGAUGGCCUUGCCCACAUUUCCAUUGAAUGACAUCAUUCUAGUAACUACGCAGCAGUACAGUGCAGAAUAGAUUGACAGAUCAAGGUGAGUUGGAGUUGAUGAAACACAAAAGGGGGGCUCUAGCCCCGAAUUGUAGGUCACAGUGUGGCUCUUCGUUGAAAAGUAUAGCUAGUAGCCCUGAGGCUAUUCAUACUUCAUGCAUCAAUGUAUGCAUCAAUGUGUCUUUCUUCUAGCUUGGCACUGUCUUAGUAUAGCCCAUUGUUCUGUCAUGAAAUCAUUACCAUACUUCAUGCAUCAAUGAAUGGUCUGGACUGUCUUUGCUCUUUCUAUUUGGGACUGUAUUUCCUCUAGAUCUUUGGUUCUUUAAAGCUUUAUAGCGGGUAUCAAAAAACUAAAACACAUACCUUGUAUCACAAAGUGAUUAUGUAAACAUUCUCAUACUAGCAAAUAAUAUAACACAAAAUAACAUACAUUAGUACAUAACAUACAUUAAUACACGUGAAUGACGUUGUAAUGGAUUGAAUUUCUUGUUUCCACGCUUUUUAACACUCAAUUUGUAUCAUUCCUUACUGUGUUUAAUGUUCAUUCAAUUGCUAACACCAAUCAUAAUUAACACUCUAAUACUUUUGAGCGAGAGGCACUAAAAGAAAAGAAAAUGAUAAAUUUGUAUGAUUGUUGGUCAUUUAUGAAAUAAUUAAUUGAAAACAAAAUCUUCUUCUUUGUUGCUUUCUAGAUCCUUGGUCAUUCAUGAAAUAAUUAGCAAAAUUUGAGCGAGAGGCACUAAAAGAAAAGAAAAUGAUAAAUUUGUAUGAUUGUUGGUCAUUCAUGAAAUAAUUAUGCACUUCCGCGUAUAAUGCACUUCUGCACUUCCACGUAUAAUUAAAUCUUCUUUUUUGUUGCCCUGGAGCAGCCACAAAACACCACAAUUGAAUAGAUGCAAGUCAGAUUAUUUUAUACACUUUUCCUCUUCCAUACUUCCUCUUCUUUACUUCCUCUUCUAUACUUUUGAGCGAAAGCAAAUCGUGGCAAGAGGCAUUAGCAGCUUGAAGUAUAACCGAGGCUGGUGCUGGUACAACAUUAAUUUUAAUUUAGUUUUUAGAGCUGCCUUUUUAAUAUUUUAUAAGUAUCAUGAGCACGAGAGCAGAUAUUGGCUCAGUAGUAAAUUAGUGGUCGAGGGCCGUAGGCCUCGAGACCAUUAAUUACUACGUAGCCAAUAUCAGGCAUAUUGCACGAGUGAUUAUGCAAUAACUGAUUUGUUGCGUGGGAGAAGCAUAGUCCGCAUUCCUUAUUUUCAUACCAGAAAAAAGUGAGUUGUAGGAACAAUAUAAAAGAGAUCAUUCCAACUUUUGUCCAAGCUUUCUGGCUGUGCAAAUAUAUGGCAUAUUGCACUGUGGAGACUUGUUAGCUUUGAUGUGCCUGGCUUCACUGCCGUAUAUUUGCACUGUGGUUUCUUUGAUCUUUUGCUCAAACAUGCAACAAUAAUAAUAAUAAUAUUUUAGAUGAAGAUCCAUCCAUUGCUAUUGGACUUGCUAUUGGACUUGACUGGUUGAAGGAUGUCGUGAGAAAAGUCGGAGUACGGCAUAGGCAGUUCAUGCUCACCACAUCCAGCCGCAUUCCUCGAGGACAGCAACCCAACUUUGUUCUUUGUUUUCUCCAUCGCAAUCUUGGAACACGAGUCCCUCUCCGUGUGAGUUAAGUAUAAAUUAGUGCAAAAAUAUCCCAAUGUACAGCACCUAUUACCUACUACUCCAAGGAUGGUGAUGCAUGUUAUGUGACCAAUUUGUAUCUAUCGAAUUCUCAAGUUCGUUCUCGAGUUACGGACAUCUCGUACGGUGAGCACUAAAUCACUCUAGCCACUUUCAUAAUUAUAUCCAGAAACGUAAUGUGGUUAAAGCUCUUCUCUCUACCCUAGGAUGAGAGUGUUAAUUGUGGUAAUGAUACGCAUCGUUUUUUUUCGAUUACUUUUACUUUCUACAGCCUUUCUACAGCAUUCAUGGAAGUUUACUAUCGGACAUCAAGGCGGCAAGUGAUGAGCCCGUAAAGAAAAAACGAAAGUGCUCACUAUUUGACCCAGCAAUUUUUCACAUUGCAAAUGUUUUUCUACUCGGAUUAAUAAAUAGAUGAAACAGUCCCACAACACAUGGGGUCAUGGGGUCAAACUAUUUCACUCCUCUACCAUUUCAGGGGUGAUGUCCAAAAUGAUCCCAAGUUAAGUUUUGCACACACAUGGAUGCACACACAUGGAUGCACAUGGAGCACAUGGCACAAAAAAUUCACACCCAUGCAUCCACUAUAAUUCCGGCUUUAAUUAAAAACAAGAAAAUACGGAAUAAAUACAUGUUUUUCUUUAAAAAUCCAUAUCUUAUGAACCAUACAUUGAAUCGUAACUAUUUCCUACAGGUAGCCCUAGCCCAGACCCCGGGGGUACCAUGACAUCAUCAUCGUUACUUAGCAACUGACCACUCCCAACUAAUUAGCGAUUGUUUGUACACAAACAAUAUUGGCACAAAGUGACUAUAGACACUAAGUGUUCUCAAUGUUCUCACAGUGACACAGGGCCCUUUUCCCGGGAAACGUUUUCUUCACCUACACACAGUUCAAUGGUGGCUCAUGCUAACUAGCCUAAGCAAACCUAGCUAUCCUGAAAGCUUCAGGAUACAGUAUGUUGUACAAAUGCUACUCUAGACUUACCAGAUCCAGAAACUUGGUCCAGCUUCUACCUAGCUACGAUCCCAGUCACUGUCCUCUCACUCUACAAGGCCAUAAGCAUCUCACAGCUUUAGAACCUCACUGAGGCUGUACUAUGAAGAUCUUGAAGUCAUCAUCAAACGGUCACUUUUCUUUCAAAAUACCACGUGAAAGAGCAGCUCAAUGCGCAUGUGCUGGUACCUACAGCGUGCGCAUAGCUCCAACACAGUGUGCACAGCAAAUUUGUGAAAAAUCUCGGUCUGCUGGACGACAUAUGUCGUCCAAAGCCGGGAAAGGGUUACCUCUUUAUACAACUUGUAUAUAGCCAGCCAUGCAUGCAGGAUCACUGUUUUCUCGUGUAGGCCUCCAGCCCAAGCUUUCACCUUCCUUAAUGUGUAUAAUGAUCACAAUCAUGCAUUUUUUAUAAUCAGUCCCUGGAACAGGAGAGGACGUGAGUUAUCGGACUGUAUUAAAAAAGCAUGUAUUAAAGCAGGUAUGCAAAAUUUUGACCAAAAUAAGGAUUUGGAUUUUUAAACUAGAUCACCAUUAUAAUUAUUUAUACUAGAGUCAUUGAGUCGUCAUUGAGUCAUUGAGUUUUGGUGGGAGCAUGAAGAAUGUUAGGCCGCGACCUCAUGUCCGGGGUACGCCAUAUUAAUUUUUAACAAAUUAGUUAGUCCUGACAACACAGUGCAUAACUCGAAAGCGCUUCGACUUUUGAUUGUGCAAGUUAGGCUAGGAAGAAAGACAAGUCAAAGAUCUACAAGAUGAUGCCCGAAUCACUUACUAUCUCGAAAAUUUGGCUGCUUCUGUCAAGUGGAAGAAAGACCAGUCAAAGAUCUACAGCUUACUAUCUCGAAAAUUUGGCAAGUGGUACUGUAGGUGUGGCUUAUAUACAAAUGUGAUCUCGUGUGUGACUGUGAACGAAGAAACACUUGCAGUGGCCCAGCUCUACCAAGCUAGUAUUGCUGGAUCACAGAUGCGCAGGUGGUGGAGCAGUCAACGAAACGUACGUGCCACAAGAAACAGUCUGAUGUUGGGUUUCCACCAUGGCAGACCACACUCGCUACAUCUCCAGCAGCCUCUUGUUGGAGUCCUUCCAGCAGAACGCACACCUUCCCUGUUUACAUCUCUUUGCAGGUGGUUGCAGGCACAUUUUGAGAGGAAAGUGUUGGAGCUCUACUUGAGCGGCCUGGGAGUCUCCUUGAAUGGUACCGUGGCCAGUUGGACUUUUACGUUUCGAUUUGGCUUGGAGGUUUUUAGUGUGUAAAAUAAAAGAAACAUCAAAUAGGAAAUAAAAUAUAUACUUGUAGAACUUUCGACUUCUUGUUCAACAGGAAUAAUAUCCGCGUAUUCUGUAUGUGCUUGUUGUAUGUAUGUGCUUGUUGUAGAUGAUUAUGCUGUCAGGGCAACUCACAGGAAUUCUUAAACCGUCUCUCUGACGCCUGAGAACGGAUCCCGUUGCUACUGGUUGCGACGUCGUUGAGAGGACCUUGCUGUCGUGCCAUGCACUUCUCCUCUGUCAAAGGUGUAGUUUAGUUAGCACAGUCUCACACACCACACACACACACACACACUCGCAAAAGCAUACACAUUACACAAAGCAUACACAUACACACACACACAUACACACACACACGCAUCAAACAAACAGACGACGGAAUGUUCCUUCAGGAAAACAGUUUUUCAUUGCAUCGUUUUUCUUAUUCCGCAUAAAUCCUGAUAAAGUGAUUCGUCCACGCUAACUCCUGUUUUGUCUUUCGUUUUCUGCUUCUGUACACCUUUUUCUUAACGAUUUAACUUUCUUCGUCUUUUGUGGCGUAUUUAGAUACCGAUCAUUUGCAAAUGUCAUGGGAGAAGAGUCGACUUUGCAUAGCUCGAAGUUGAUAUCUAUAACUCUUCGCAUGAGGAUCUCACAGUCACUCGUCCGUUGAAGAACACCAGUUAACACUUUCUACCGAUGCCUUAAUUUCACCACCUGAUGUCAAAAAUUUUCCUUUGUGUUUUUCUCUCAGCUCAAUGGAUGAAACCACUAUCAGGAUUGCCAGGACAAAUUCUUGCUGUAUCCAACUGACUGCUCAUUAUAACAGCUUGUGGAAUGGAUGACAAGGGGUUAGUGGGGGAAGGCAUAGUGGGGGAUUUGUGAUCGGGAUAGAGCAAUGCGUAACAACCAAUGGUUGAGCCGUGCCUCUGAAGUUUUUCGAUUGGUUUUGUAAUUGAUUGCUCCAUGAAUACUUGAGCUUGGUCUUGCCAUCAAGAGAGCUACGACGAUCAUCCACCUAGAUUGAGGUUUAUUAUGAACUGUAAGCUACUCACUAAUGCAAGCACUUACGCACAAUACACUAUAAAUAACAACUUACUCUGAGCUGCUCCGAGCUGCUCCAUCUCCUUCUUUCUCAUCUGUUUCUUCUCCUUCUUUCUCUUCUGUUUCUUCUCCUUUCUCGUCUCACCAUUCUUGACAGUGGUGUACAAAAAACGUCGAGGCAUUUCAGAUGAUCUAAAACGUGCAGCAAAGGAUUAUGGGAUAUUUCAUUUGAACAGUUUUAUAAAACUGCUUAAUGCCUACAAAAAAUAAUAUUGAGGAUCAUCGAUUAAUGACGCCACUACGGGUACGGAAACAUGUGCACUAAAAAUCAACAAUUCUAAAAGUGUUGGUACAAGGCUUACUUUCACCAUACAGUUUGGUGUAUCUAUACCCAAUAUGUUUUAUUAUGAUUAAUUGUAUGUGUUAGAUCGUAACUCACAGAGUUAUGGGUAGAGAAACCAAGGGUCAAAUUUCUCAGACUUGUAUGAUUUAUUUCAGCUGCCAUGUGGUGUGGUGCUCAGUUGGCGCCGCAUACCACAACACGAAGCUUCUUUCUAGCACCAAAGCGAAACGCGGCUAUAAUUCAGAUAAUGCGUCAUCACACUGGUUUUGUGCAGCAUCACGUGAGGCGUUUCCAAUCCAUUUCUCUAUCUUGUGUAGGUGAAGAAAAUUAGAACCUGAUCCUGGUUGAGUCCUGAGUGAGCCAUGUCACCGUGAGAACAUUCUGAACAUGUUCAUCAUUGUGUACAUAAUUGUGAAUUUUUGUUAAUAUUUGUUAUUUGUGGGGUGGUAGUUGGUUGCUAGGCAACGAUGAUUCCAUGGAUGCGACAGGUCCGAUUCUACCUGUGGAACUUUGUUACAAAUAAUUAUACGGUUCAUGAGUUAUAAAUUUUUUAAACAAAAUAUUCAAGCAGGGAAAGGGUUAUAAAAAUUAUACGAAAAAAUAUUUUUAAGACAAAUUACAAGCCGUAGUGGUGUUUAAUUACACAGAGACGACACACAAUUUACCAAACUCCACAGACUCUGCAGUCAAACUCUGCAGCAUGCUAGAGCGUACUUGAGUUUUUCAUAGCCACUCAAAGACGUUUCUUAAGUCUUGAGAUGUCACCAAACAGAAAUCCACUGUAGCCUAAAAUCCACUGUAGCCUAUAAUAAUUAUUAAGAAUUAUUAAGAUCAAGUCAUACAAUUGCACAAAUCUAACACAAAAUUGGUGUAUGCACAAGAAGUGAUAAUACUCACACAAAUCAUUUCUUGACUCCCAGCGAUUAGGGUAGGUUUGACCCAACAGACUUUUCAACUCUUCUGUUCGAGGUUUUGAUUUUUCCAUCUCAGAAGUCAAGAGUGACUCGUAUGAAAUCGGUUCGGUGGAGGAGCACUUUCAUUUCAAACACAUCCUACACCCGCGUAUCAUGGAAGGACAAUUUUUAGGCAUGCAAGGUAACAAGCUGGAUAUUUUCUUUCUCAUUGAUGGGAUACAGAUACAUACAUGGAAAGUGUUUUACACUUAAUUAUUAUCAUGAGUUGUCUCAUCAGAAUAAUGUAUUCCUACCAGUGAUCUCACACUACUGCGCAUGCAUACCAUUAUUAUCCUUUUGGCUUUGCAAAUAUUUGUUUCCCAAGCUACGAUUCACACUUAUAACACACUUAUAACACUACAACUACAGACACAAACAAUUAACGCGUAUCGCCCAUAAGUAAACUAUGAGCACCUCAUAUACAUCAUCUUUUACACCUCAUUACAUCAACGCUUCCAGUCUCCUAUAAAAUGGCAACUUAGAAAAAUACUUCACAAUCCGAGAAGAUCAAGAGGAAAAUUAAACAUGUCUGACGAUGAACUGCUGGGUAUCAGAAAUCUCUACAUCGAACAAGAUUAUUAUGGAAGACCAAGUCACAGCUCUCAACCCACCACCAGCCGGCAGCUCAGCCGGCACAGCAUCCCACCACCAGUGGACCGCCAGCCACAACAACUCUCAACCCACCCCCUUUUUCUUCACCAGGGGCACCCGUCAGAAAUUUACCUCUACCAGGUCCGAUGGACUAUCCAUAUCCUCCUCAGUAUAACGGCGCUCUCCUCCCUCUCCCACCUUUCUAUGGCCAUGGACAUGGACAACAGGGCCAGAACCAGGACCAGGAGAAACACCCCCCCUAGCCCUGCAACCACAAUAGCAUACGCCUUGUAAAGAUCGUUUAUAGUUUAUAUCAUUACACAUGUUCAGAGCUAGUUGGGCGUGGCCCCCCAGAGGUUCAUGGUGAAGAUCGUCGUUUAUAUCAUUACACAUGUUCAGAGCUAGUUGGGCGUGGCCCCCCUCCCUGGCCAGAGGAAGAUCGUUCAGUAUAGAAAAGCUCCAGCCAGGUGAAGAUCGUUCAGUGUAGAAAAGUUAAAUGUUCUCAAAUUGAUUUUGUGCGCAUGCACAGUCUCCUUCCAGUGACAGCAACCUCGCGAGACACUCACCACAUAGUAUACCUUGUGUAUCUAGCUACUCCGUAUAGUCCCCCCCAUUCAUACCUUUACAAUGGUCCAAUCUACCUCUACUCAUACACAUCAUUAUCGCACGCUAUCUACCUCUUUCACAGGUAAUGCAUGAUGCUCGCAUGUGUAUUUCACCUCUAUUCUAGGACCACUACCGAUUGUUCGAUGUAUUAUGGCGAAGCAUGUUCGUGCCAAGACGAUUGUUAGCUUCUGGAAUUUCCAUACAAUGAUACUGAAUUGAUCAAUCUAGGAAAAUGUCAUCCAAAUAUCUUUUUUGCCCACUCCGCGAUAACUUAUAGAUCAUUAGUGCUUAGAGAACUGUUACAACCCUACAUGUACGAAACACCCGACGGAGUAUCAAGCUGUGUACGCCCCAGAUAUUCCUGAUUUCGAAUUUGAUGAAGGAUUUUACCUCUGUGAAAAUUGCCCAAAAAAUUGCCAUGAAGGAGAAAAAUUUCAUACUUGCCCUUACUCUGCUCCACAGAGCUUGAUCUUAGCAACAAUGAACAGUAGUUUUUCACACACAGUGUUUGUCAUAGUCCACACACACAUAUGUCCCACAUAUGCACACACAUUUACUUACAUGCAUGUAAUUAUACCACAUACCCGCACACACACACACAAACCAACAAACACGUACCACACAUGCAUACUCACAUGGACACGUGCACACACGCUAGCACACACGCUAAACAGCUAAACAUGCGAGCAAUGUGCCUACUUUAACUGAUUAUGCGCCUAUUGGCGUCGUUGGGGUUAACACGGCAGCUGCAGCAAUUCGGCUUCUCUUGGCUGCUAAGCUGCUGCUGGACUGAAGCUAGGACGCCUUCUAUCCACCGUCAAGAGCUGCAGGUAGGCCACACUGGACGACGGAGGAGGUUCUACAAGACAUCUUGAAUGAUGAGGAACCUGCAGAGGAGUGGGAAGAGGUAACAGCGGUCAGGGAUGAGCCAGUCAUGCAGGGCAGUGACGAAGAAUUUUCUGAUUGGGAGGUCUAAAACUAAACUGAAUACCGAUAUAAUUUAUUACAACGUACAUGUAGAAAUGGAGCCAGACAGCAAUCCUGCACAAGGUAAAAAUUGAUAAUUAUAAGGUUAACAAAAACGUGUACACUUCGGGGAAGCUACAUUCAACAUGAGAAUGAUUAUGGACUAGAGAGUGUACAAUGGUUCAGGAGACCGGAUGGGCUGGUGGAAAAAUCGUUCAACUUUGCCGGAGAAAAAUAGGAGAAUUACGAGCAGCAGAGAAAAGUUGACCUCAGUGAGUUUGUAGAGGACGAGCAAUCAGAUGAGCCAGUAGAUGAAAACGAGGACGAUGGUGUACAUGUACUUGACGAAGAUCUUUAUGAAGACAUAUAAACUUCAAUAUUCAGUGCUCAUGCAGAAGUCAUCUACUGACACACAACCGAGAUGAGUCAAGCUUUUUGAUAUCCGAGGAAUCGAAUCAUCACAUCGACUGAUGGCUACAGAGUCCCCUUCCCCACCCACGAAAGAGUUACUGUGCUAAGUGGAUUCUCAAGACUAGUGAGACAAGAAGUUUGACAAGACGAGCAACUCUUGGCAUAGGUUCCCUUCUAGUUAGUGCUGGACACGAGCUUCAUCUAUUUUGGCAAGUAGCGAAGUGGAUGCAUCAGUGAAGUCUAGCUUUGAUGAUUUAUUUAUUUCGUCAAUCACAAGGCCUUUCGAAGGUUUAAUAUCUUUUCAUCAGCAGUUGAGUUACUAUCGAGACCACUAUCAAGACCACUUCAACCAGAUAGUAAGUACGUGUUGGGCCUAUUUCUUGCUUCACUGUCAUUCAUUUCUCCUGUCAUUCAUUUCUCCUCCAUGCAGGAACCCAAAAGUUUAAACUACUCUAAGACUUGCCGGUACACUUGUUGAAAAGAAAACGGAAGUGAUGUACAUUCCUUUGCUUAAAACUUUGCAGCGUCUUCUCAACAACGAUACCAUUCUUUAAGAGCUCUUCAGAUUUAUGUAAUCCGCUGGGAUCUCAAGCACAAAAUUGGUAUGGUUUAUUGGCCACAGUAUCGAUCUACGAUCAACACAAUACAACUAUACACAAUACAACUAUAACACUGGUUGAGUUCGGUAUUAUCGAACCAUUAUUUUGUGGAUGACCUUCGCAAACUUGAAUCAGUAAGUUAUCUAUACCAUUGCCUGGUUGUCUUAUGUGGCUGAGGGUUUACCAUCAAUGGUGAAGAGCUGUGACUGUUGUGUCUGCUGACCUGUUGUGUCUGCUGACAAUCUUUAAACAGAGUGCAUCUGCGUUUCGGUGCUGCAGGGGAACUGAGAAAGAUAUACAAUCAAAGGUAGAUUUUCGUAUCAGAUUUUCAUCUGCGCUGUGCUUCAGACCACGUACGUCAUUCAUUGUGAGCUUGUUGAGCAACAUGCAGACCGCCAUCACUUUUCUAUCACAUACGGAGUUAAUCGACAUGCUCUGCUCGACACUCCUUUCGUAUGUGGAUAUGCUCAUUCAUUCCUGAUAUUAUGCACGACAUCCUAGAGGGAGCACUCCCCCUGGAAAUGAAGCUUAUGUUGAAGGAAACUAUAAUUAUGCAUUUCGAUCUAUAUAAUGCCACAGGUGUUAGUUGUUGAAAAAAAGCUAUUCACGCUUGAAAUGGUUGACAACAAUUUACUCCGAAUGUCAGCAAUCUUCGUCAACAUGGGCAAAUUGGGUCACUAUCGAACACUAGUCUAUUGGACGUGGUUCCAGUGAAGACCUAAGUUUGGGAACGUUUAUGUUGAUGGUUUGACUUUACUGUUUGAAUUCCUGCCUAUGGUUACUGAAGAAUUUCAUCAUCCAAGCAUGUUGUGAGGAGUAAUAUUAUAUUUAUACUUGUUAAUCAAUUCACAUGGUACUCAGAGCGACAAGUUAAUAUAAACCUCAAUUGUACAUAUAAUUAUAUACAAUUCACGAACAUAGUGUGAAAAACAUAAUUAGGCCAAGCAUGUGUUGUGGGUGGGCAGUGGGGUACUACAAUGGUGUGGUGCUAACACGCUGACACCCAUGUUUAGAUAACACCCCUCUUUGCAAAGGGUGUUAUGUUGACACUCGCUACAGGGCACCAUGGGUGUUACGUAAACAACCAUCAAAAAGCUGACACCUGUGUUCCGAUAACACCCCACUUUUUACAGUGCAACCUUAUGUCUAGCUGCUAAAAACGAGGAACGUCGUAUUGCAGAGAAUAAAAAACAACAGCUAUACCGAAACCACUAGCCUAUCCCGAUGAAUAGGAACCUUUUAACCAGAGCUCAAGAAAUAACGACUGGUCACUUUGCAAACGAAUGCAAACCUAGAAACUAUACGUAGCAUUGAAUCUGUGAAACUGUGCCAUUGUGGAAAUUCACCGAAAGUUCGAUUCUGAAAAGGUGAAUAUCAGUACAUCUAUAUCAAACAAAAUCUUUACUAGCCGCCACGGGUGGCCCGCAAUAGUGACUUUUUUUGCGAAAUUCUAAUUCUGCGAUACUUAGGAAGUAGCUCGAACUACGCACAUCCUCACGUGCAAUUUAGUCUAGAAAUUUUAAAAUUUCAUUAGCAUCUUACCGCACGAAGUUUAUAGCUAUGGCUAGGUUGUUUACUUGUGCCGAUGUGCUUGAACAGCUUGAGGACAGCAAUGGCGAUGUCUCCUCUGGUGACGACAGUGCCUAUGAAGGAGAGGGGAUAGUAGGAUACCUCCCAAAGGCUACCAGCUUUAUGCCAGACGCUGAUGAACUGUCUGGGACUGAGGACAUGGACCUAGACGCUAGCGCUAUGGACCAGGACGGUGAAAGACCAGGAGAGGGCUCACUGUGUGACUCUGGCAAGUAGUAUAGUAUAGCUAGAAUAUCAGUAGUGUAAGUAGUAUAGCUAAAAUAGAAUUAGCAGUAACGAACAGUCUUUAUGUGAGCUUGUAAAUUUCAUAGAUCGUUCACCAAUAUAGUACGUAUUGUACUUCAAAUUGAUAUAUCUUAGCACUGUUACAUUCAUAUGAUGUGAAAAUCAAGCUUAGUCAAGUAUAUGAUACGCUAAUCCAUAAAAAAAAAUUUUUGAAUUUUAUCUCACCGCUGGCCGAGCAUUUAAAAUGUUAAAAACGGGUGAGCGUAAUAACCGUGGUUGUUAUGGCAACACAUGUUGCACCAUUUUAUUCCUUGUUGUAUGGGCAUUCUAUUGGUAUAUGGUUGCUAGGCAUUUUAUUGCUCUGGAAACCCGAUAGAGAAUUUACAGACAUUUCACUUCACUGUUAAUUAAGAAUCCGACGGUUAAAGACCUGCCGAGCAAAGACCCGCUAGAUUAGUGAAGACUUUAGUGAAGACGAGCGACAUGAAGAAAGUAGAACUCUGAGGAAGUGAUCCCAAGUGUGUCACAGUGUUGCAAUGGGUGGUGAACUAUUUAAAACAGUAGAUCUGCAGAAG
Molecule: long non-coding RNA, 11905 nt
Organism: Halichondria panicea
Lineage: Eukaryota; Metazoa; Porifera; Demospongiae; Suberitida; Halichondriidae
Exons: 11
Source: RefSeq, a predicted model, not a curated record